GGGUAUGGCUGUUCGCCAUUUAAAGUGGUACGCGAGCUGGGUUUAGAACGUCGUGAGACAGUUCGGUCCCUAUCUGCCGUGGACGUUUGAGAUUUGAGAGGGGCUGCUCCUAGUACGAGAGGACCGGAGUGGACGAACCUCUGGUGUUCCGGUUGUCACGCCAGUGGCAUUGCCGGGUAGCUAUGUUCGGAAGAGAUAACCGCUGAAAGCAUCUAAGCGGGAAACUUGCCUCAAGAUGAGAUCUCACUGGGAUCUUGAAUCCCCUAAAGGGCCGUCGAAGACUACGACGUUGAUAGGUUGGGUGUGUAAGCGCUGUGAGGCGUUGAGCUAACCAAUACUAAUUGCCCGUGAGGCUUGACCAUAUAACACCCAAGCA
Molecule: ribosomal RNA, 376 nt
Filed under: Pseudomonas putida
Lineage: Bacteria; Pseudomonadati; Pseudomonadota; Gammaproteobacteria; Pseudomonadales; Pseudomonadaceae
Description: bacterial LSU rRNA
Rfam family: Bacterial large subunit ribosomal RNA
Source: RNAcentral